UAACAAGUAGCAAAGAAGUUCACGUCAUCUUCUUCUUCUGUCACCGGACGGAAACUUCACUACCACCAAAACUCAACCAAUAUGUAAAUUGGAGGUACUGUUCCAUUCGGAUUUCCAUCCUCAACCUAGCUCUAAUCCUUGAACUCUCAUAAUCUUCGCCAAUCCUAUUUAAUUUCAUAUUUUGUUCAAGAACCCUAAAUGCUUCAACUUAAAUUAAACACUAAUGGAUUAUUGAAUUUAGCAAUAGUCAUUGGGGAAUGAAUCAUAUUAACAUGAAGAACAAGAUUGUAUGAAGAACUUGGUGGAAAGAGAGAUGGAGACCCUACCAAUAGGGACGUGAUUUUCCCCGGUAAUUGUUGUAAUUGAAGUUGAUGAAGAAUGGUGGUGCAAGAAACCCAAGUACAAGCUUCGAAUUCCUCAAGUAUAAAUCAUUCCCUUUGACUUUGAUUCUUAUUACUGUGUAGUAAGAUAGUUAUAGAUGUAAGACAGACAGUAAGCCAUUCAACUUUUAGUAUUGAGGCACCAACAACACGACCAUAAAAGAAUUUGGGUGGUUUGCAUCUUUUUGGCUAGAGAUUGUCGAUGAGUUUAUAUACUACCUUUGCCAGACUUGUGACUAUGUCCAUAAGUCAUUGGAAAUGAUAGUAUUAAUUGACAAAUAUUGCUUAGGGGAUGAUGUGGAUAAUACUUGAACAAUUUCAACAUCCUUGUGCGGUGUUCAUGAAGGCUGAGCAGAAGAAACUAUAGUUGGUCCAGACUGCAGUAAUUGACUCGGGGUUACCAGAGUAGGGACUGGUGCAACUUUUUUGGAUCAACAAUUAGUGUUUGGAUUAAUGAUCAUUUUGGAAAAAAGGCAACCACCAUUGCAGAUGUUAUUUUUUCUAUUGCAACAAUUGUCAUGAUUGUUGUACUAGAUCCUUACACUCUCAUGCCCGACCAUGUUCUCGUUGGAAGUUGCUUCGGUUACUACUCCAUACGCAAGUGAACCACGCUCCUUGUAUGUUUCCUACACCUCAUCUUUGUCACCUUUAAUACCAAUGAUUGCAAAACCGUUGUGCAUACAGACUGCCAAAACAAGGCCUUGAAUGUCGGGAUGGUGCUUCACUCUCCAAACACCUCCACCUAAACUGAUUGAAGUUUCAUCAACAGGUUUUGAGAUUGAUCUUAAAUCCCAAACCCUAAAGAAUUCAACAUAGCUGCCAUUUAAUAAUCUAUUUGGGUAAUGAGGACUCUUUUCAAUGCUAGUAAUACCUAUUUUGUUGACUUCGGAGUUCUUUAAUAAUGGUUUUUCUGCUUUGGACAUAACAUGCUUGCAAGCGUAAUUGAUUAUCUCAACACCCUUUGAUUUACAUCAUGAACAUUAGUUCCAUUUUCUGUCACAAGAAUGCAAAAUUGUGUCAUCUGAACUCUCUCAUCAUCACUAUCAGGGAUAACGACGGUGUCGCGUUUCAUAGUCGCGGACAAAACAGUGAAGCUCCUGUGGCUGCCGCUAAUGUUGUCUGAUGAAAAAUUCUUCUCCUAACAAAUGCCACAUUGAGAUGAUUUUCUAUCAAGGGUCUAAUGUGCAUUACAUUGUCUCUUUUAGAUAUGUGACACCGUCUUCGUGUUUGAGAAUUGUUAUGUCCCUUCUUUGAUAUACAUGUGGUCUUGGGCUACCGAGGUAUUCGAAUGGAUCGAUAGGAGUAUCAUUGAUUCUUAUACUGAUAGAAGCUUUUGAAUUCAAAAAAUUAUUAGGCCCUAAGCUCAUGUUUGCAGAAGAUUUAUGUGGAAGCAUAUAAGGCAUUCCCUCACCAGCUACGACAGAGUGCUUCGAAGAUCCUCGAGUAUUUUUACUAUGAAUAUUGAACUGCUGCACUGCCAUGUCAAUGGAGUUUCCAACAAGUGAGUCAAUUUAUCCAGUUGGACAAAAAACUUGACAUUUAUGUCCUCCUCUAUCAGAGAUUGAAUCGCAGUACUAGAAUGACGGUAAGUCUGAGCUAAGAAGCAGAGACUUAUAAUUGUCGUUGGAGAAUGACAUCAAGAGGCAUGCAAAGAAACAUGCAAGUCCUUCCCAUCUGUAUUUACCAGUGAUUGCUUCAAAAGAUCAGACAAUUACGAUGAUGUAGAAAGUUCACGGUAAACUCUCUCAACAUUCAAAAGAACACAAAGGCGGCGAAUUAUCAAAGCAUUAUGCUUCUCUAGCUUGAAACUGUGCACAAGGAACACGACGAGAUGUUGGAAGUGCUGAAGGUCGCGCUGCAUGCAUGAACAUCAAGAACUAACCAAAUGGCCUCAUCAGAUGGAUAUGAAAGUACUUUGAGUAGGGUGUCACUUAAUUGUUGUUGUCCUAUAAGGUGUAUCUGAUUUUAAAAGUUGUUGGUGGUGGUGUCGUUGAAACCGGAAAAGCAUAUGAUGGUUCAAAAGACUUAUUUGAGCAGUAGCAGCCUGAGAAAAUUGUCUCGACAUGUGUAGGAAUUGUUGUUCCCUGGGACACGUUUUCUUGACCAAAAAAAUUAUGGACCCGAUAUACUGCUUCGUUUCCAA
Lathyrus oleraceus (garden pea) is the source of this 2523-nucleotide long non-coding RNA. RefSeq lists it as uncharacterized. The record is from RefSeq and is a predicted model, not a curated record. Lineage: Eukaryota; Viridiplantae; Streptophyta; Magnoliopsida; Fabales; Fabaceae. The transcript is spliced from 3 exons.